CCUACGGGAGGCUGCAGUCGAGAAUCAUUCACAAUGGGGGAAACCCUGAUGGUGCGACGCCGCGUGGGGGAAUGAAGGUCUUCGGAUUGUAAACCCCUGUCAUGUGGGAGCAAAUUAAAAAGAUAGUACCCCAAGAGGAAGAGACGGCUAACUCUGUGCCAGCAGCCGCGGUAAUACAGAGGUCUCAAGCGUUGUUCGGAAUCACUGGGCGUAAAGCGUGCGUAGGCUGUUUCGUAAGUCGUGUGUGAAAGGCGCGGGCUCAACCCGCGGACGGCACAUGAUACUGCGAGACUAGAGUAAUGGAGGGGGAACCGGAAUUCUCGGUGUAGCAGUGAAAUGCGUAGAUAUCGAGAGGAACACUCGUGGUGAAGGCGGGUUCCUGGACAUUAACUGACGCUGAGGCACGAAGGCCAGGGGAGCGAAAGGGAUUAGAUACCCUUGUAGUC
RNAcentral lists this ribosomal RNA (446 nucleotides) under uncultured bacterium. RNAcentral's name for it is "partial 16S ribosomal RNA". It matches the Rfam family "Bacterial small subunit ribosomal RNA", at positions 338 to 795 of the family's 1533-position model. The record is from RNAcentral.